UUGAUUCAUUUUUCUUGUGAGACUCAGAAUAUGCCACUAUGGUUAAACAAGAGUUUGGGGGUCCUCUGGCGGGCCGCCGGAGCGGGCACCGCCGAGGCAACGAUAGGUAUGUUCACAGGGGUUUGGGAGUUGUAAACUCGGUAAUGAUCCCUCCGCUGGUUCACCAACGGAGA
Molecule: unclassified non-coding RNA, 173 nt
Filed under: uncultured fungus
Lineage: Eukaryota; Fungi
Description: sequence contains ITS1
Source: RNAcentral